Non-coding RNA from Betaproteobacteria bacterium, 88 nucleotides. The record is from Rfam. Lineage: Bacteria; Pseudomonadati; Pseudomonadota; Betaproteobacteria.
UCGCCCGCUUCUCCUCCCUGAGCGGGUGCCUUAAUCCUUUUAAGGCUGUCCCCGGGCUUUAAUCCCCUUUAAGCCCGGGGCUUUUUUU